CGGGCUGUAGUGUAACGGUGGCACGCUUGCAUGGGGUGCAAGAAGCAUCACGGGGUUCGACUCCCCGCAGCCCGA
RNAcentral lists this transfer RNA (75 nucleotides) under Candidatus Yanofskybacteria bacterium RIFCSPHIGHO2_01_FULL_41_21. RNAcentral describes it as "tRNA-Pro". It matches the Rfam family "tRNA". From Rfam's summary of the family: Transfer RNA (tRNA) molecules are approximately 80 nucleotides in length. Their secondary structure includes four short double-helical elements and three loops (D, anti-codon, and T loops). The record is from RNAcentral. Lineage: Bacteria; Candidatus Yanofskyibacteriota.